Podiceps cristatus (great crested grebe) is the source of this 133-nucleotide non-coding RNA. Lineage: Eukaryota; Metazoa; Chordata; Aves; Podicipediformes; Podicipedidae. The record is from Rfam.
GGGUCCAUUCUAAUUCCCUGCGGGUUGGCACCAGUACCUGCUGGGUUUCGCUUGUGGACCACAUUAAACUGGAGAACUUACGCACGUGUGAGCUUACUGGUAGUCUGCUCGUGGCAUGGUUUUCUGGACAUGU